UACGUAGGGGGCGAGCGUUGUCCGGAUUUAUUGGGCGUAAAGAGCGUGUAGGCGGCCAGGUAGGUCUGCUGUGAAAACUCGAGGCUCAACCUCGAGACGUCGGCGGAAACCAUCUGGCUAGAGUCCGGAAGAGGAGAGUGGAAUUCCUGGUGUAGCGGUGAAAUGCGCAGAUAUCAGGAAGAACACCCGUGGCGAAGGCGGCUCUCUGGGCUGACACUGACGCUCAUGCACGAAAGCGUGGGGAGCAAACAGG
This 253-nucleotide ribosomal RNA is filed under the name uncultured bacterium. RNAcentral's name for it is "partial 16S ribosomal RNA". It matches the Rfam family "Bacterial small subunit ribosomal RNA", at positions 524 to 776 of the family's 1533-position model. The record is from RNAcentral.